This 484-nucleotide ribosomal RNA is filed under the name uncultured bacterium. RNAcentral's name for it is "partial 16S ribosomal RNA". It matches the Rfam family "Bacterial small subunit ribosomal RNA", at positions 30 to 507 of the family's 1533-position model. The record is from RNAcentral.
AUUGAACGCUGGCGGCAGGCCUAACACAUGCAAGUCGAGCGGAUGAAGGGAGCUUGCUCCUGGAUUCAGCGGCGGACGGGUGAGUAAUGCCUAGGAAUCUGCCUGGUCGUGGGGGAUAACGUCCGGAAACGGGCGCUAAUACCGCAUACGUCCUGAGGGAGAAAGUGGGGGAUCUUCGGACCUCACGCUAUCAGAUGAGCCUAGGUCGGAUUAGCUAGUUGGUGGGGUAAAGGCCUACCAAGGCGACGAUCCGUAACUGGUCUGAGAGGAUGAUCAGUCACACUGGAACUGAGACACGGUCCAGACUCCUACGGGAGGCAGCAGUGGGGAAUAUUGGACAAUGGGCGAAAGCCUGAUCCAGCCAUGCCGCGUGUGUGAAGAAGGUCUUCGGAUGGUAAAGCACUUUAAGUUGGGAGGAAGGGCAGUAAGUUAAUACCUUGCUGUUUUGACGUUACCAACAGAAGAAGCACCGGCUAACUUCGUG